GACGAACGCUGGCGGCGUGCUUAACACAUGCAAGUCGAACGGUAAGGCUCCAGCUUGCUGAGGUACACGAGUGGCGAACGGGUGAGUAACACGUGGGUGACCUGCCCUGCACUUCGGGAUAAGCCUGGGAAACUGGGUCUAAUACCGGAUAGGACCGCACCGUGAGGGUGUGGUGGAAAGUUUUUUCGGUGUGGGAUGGGCCCGCGGCCUAUCAGCUUGUUGGUGGGGUAAUGGCCUACCAAGGCGGCGACGGGUAGCCGGCCUGAGAGGGUGGACGGCCACAUUGGGACUGAGACACGGCCCAGACUCCUACGGGAGGCAGCAGUGGGGAAUAUUGCACAAUGGGCGGAAGCCUGAUGCAGCGACGCCGCGUGGGGGAUGACGGCCUUCGGGUUGUAAACUCCUUUCACCAUCGACGAAGGGUUUCUGACGGUAGAUGGAGAAGAAGCACCGGCUAACUACGUG
RNAcentral lists this ribosomal RNA (465 nucleotides) under uncultured bacterium. Its description in RNAcentral is "partial 16S ribosomal RNA". It matches the Rfam family "Bacterial small subunit ribosomal RNA", at positions 28 to 507 of the family's 1533-position model. The record is from RNAcentral.